GAUGAAGAACGCAGCGAAAUGCGAUAAGUAAUGUGAAUUGCAGAAUUCAGUGAAUCAUCGAAUCUUUGAACGCACAUUGCGCCCGCUGGUAUUCCGGCGGGCAUGCCUGUUCGAGCGUCAUUUCAACCCUCAAGCCCCCGGGUUUGGUGUUGGGGAUCGGCUCUGCCCUUCUGGGCGGUGCCUCCCCCGAAAUACAUUGGCGGUCUCGCUGCAGCCUCCAUUGCGUAGUAGCUAACACCUCGCAACUGGAACGCGGCGCGGCCAUGCCGUAAAACCCCAACUUCUGAAUGUUGACCUCGGAUCAGGUAGGAAUACCCGCUGAACUUAAGCAUAUCAAUAAGCGGAGGA
This 348-nucleotide unclassified non-coding RNA is filed under the name soil metagenome. Its description in RNAcentral is "partial contains 5.8S ribosomal RNA, internal transcribed spacer 2, and large subunit ribosomal RNA". The stretch from base 1 to 120 matches the Rfam family "5.8S ribosomal RNA", at positions 35 to 154 of the family's 154-position model. The record is from RNAcentral.